RNAcentral lists this microRNA precursor (81 nucleotides) under Populus trichocarpa (black cottonwood). RNAcentral's name for it is "miR472a stem-loop (ptc-MIR472a)". Its record names the gene ptc-MIR472a. The record is from miRBase by way of RNAcentral. Lineage: Eukaryota; Viridiplantae; Streptophyta; Magnoliopsida; Malpighiales; Salicaceae.
UUAUCGGGUGGGUGAGCGGGGAAGAUAACUUUGGUUUUUGAGAUAGUACUUGUUAUUUUCCCUACUCCACCCAUCCCAUAG